UGUUACUCUCUGAGCGAGAAGGAAAGCGAGAGGGGAGAGAGUGAAGCUGAGCUGAGCUGAGCUGCUUCUUCCAUGGCGACGGUGCUUGAGAAAGAGAUAUCCUCCAUUAAGAAGCUCGGGCAGUGAAAUCACUUCGAAUUUUGCAGGCAAGUACUGUUGAUUGUUCACUAUGAUUGCAAUUGUGCGUAGGAAUCUCUCGUUAUUGUCGAACCCUAAUUCAUUUCUCUGCAACUCAAAUGCUCAUUCCUCUCCCUCAAUCCACUUCUUUUCCACUCGGAGGAUCAAAAGAAUAUUAAUCCCUAGCCCUGAAAUCUGCGAUGUUUUGGUCAAUAAACACCAAUUUUCUCCUGAAUUGGCCUCGCUAGCUUCGUCGCGUUUACCUAAAUUCAGAGACCCCCAAAGAGCUGAUUCAGUGCUUUCGUUCCUCAAAGAGAAUAUCUUUACGACUGCUCAGCUGCAGAAAUUAGUGAUAUAUGAUCCUCGGAUUCUAGGGUUUACAAUUGAGCGUUUCGAAUCCAGAUUCAAGGUGUUCCAAAACUUGGGGCUUUCUUCUGAGGAGAUUGCCAAGAUGAUUUCACACGGUCCUGCGAUUAUACAUUCAAGCAUGGAGAACAGGAUUAAUCCUAGAUUAUCGAUACUAAAGGGCUUGAUCGGAUCUAACGACGAUGUGGCCCGGUUUUUGAAAAGAUGCCCUUGGCUUCUUGUAACUGAUUUAGAGAGAAGCUUAAUCCCGAAUGUGGAAAUCGUGAAGAGCACCGGGAUACCAAUGGAGCGCGUCCUUCACUUAGUCUACGCUUCCCCAAGAGGUUUCUUGAUCAAACCGGAUAUCAUGAGGAAAUCUGUAGACAAGGCUAUAGAAAUCGGGGUGCCUCACAAUUCGGUUGUUUUUAUCUAUGCUGUCGGUGUAUUUAACUAUACGAGCCAAGGGAUGUGGGAGGUCAAGCUGGAAACUCUUCGCAAUUUGGGAUUUUCUGAUAAGGAUAUACUCAAAAUAUUUAGGACGCACCCUCAUGUUUUCUCGGCAUCUGGAAACAAAUUGAAGAAAAAAGUAGAGCUUCUGCUUGCUACCGGGAAGUACAGUGUAUCCAAUAUUGCCGCAUCUCCAUCUGCACUUGGGUGCAGUGUCGAGAAGAGGAUUGAACCGCGGAUGCAGAUUCUUAAACUUUUGGAGAGUAGGAAUCUGAUUGAAAAGUGGCCAUGUCUUUCAGCUGUUCUCAAACCUAGAGAUGAAGAAUUUAUGGAGAAAUUUGUUAGGCCUUAUUAUGACGAGAUUGGUGAAGAACUCAUCACACAAAGAUCUAUGUUAUGAGCCGGAAGAGAUGAAUCUAUAAGAACCGAUGCUUGAAGAACUCGUACGUAGUAGUAGAAGUAUUAAUUCUUCCUUGUGCUCAACAUAUUAUUUGAUCAAUCUUGCCAAACAUAUUCUAUUAGAAUAUGAAAAUUUUAUUUCUCAUAUAUCUCUCUAUGUUAUGUAUAGCAAUUUUUCAAAGUUAUUUCUUUUUUAAUCAAUAGAAGCCUAUCAACCUGGCUAGUUGCAAUAUACCUAUGGAGCGUAUCCUUCACUUACUCCAUUUUUGCCUGAGAUGUCUAUUGGUGAGGCCUGAUGUGUUAUGGAGAAAUCUAUAGACAAGGCCAUGAGGUUCAGGGUCUCCCGGACUUCACUUCUUUCAUCGAUGUUAUCAAUGUUUUUGCUCACACGAGCGAAGGGAUCAUGGAAGUCAAUCGGAAAGUCCUCCUUGAUUUGGGGUUUUCAACUUAUGAUAUGAUGAAAUUCCUUAGGCAGACACCGUUGCUGUUUUCUUCAUCCAUGGAGAAAACGAAGAGGGUUGUGGAACUUCUGCUUGCUACCGGGAAGUACUGUAUCACCAAUAUCGUAGCUAACCCAAUGAAACUCAUGUGCAGCAUUGAGAAGAGGCUUGUGUCGCGCUGCAAAUUAUGGGACUCCAGGAAAGUAGGAAUCUUAUUGAAAAGUGGCCCGGUCUUUCAAGAGUUUCUGCAUUUACGAAUGAUAAGUUUUUUGACACAUUUGGUAAACCUUAUUACGUUCUAGCUUAUGCUCUCUGUUGCGAACUAAUCUUGACACGAUCCUUGCUUCCUUGAUUCUUGAAGUUCUGCAAAUUACGACUACUACUUUUGUCGAUAUGGUUAUUUUACAGUGGAAAAACUUGUGUUGUGGAAGACUCCAUCAAGAUUCGAAGUGCAUAACUUCUACUGAUUCGAGUUUUGAGAUUGGCUACGUACACAUGUUCUAUAGAAUUUCUUGUAAAUAUGAUGUUUCAUUUUUUCAGAAUGUUUCUGUGACACUGUUGCUUUCUAAAUGAUGAAUGCCAUACUGUUCUGAUCUUUCUUAUACGA
This is a non-coding RNA of Salvia hispanica, 2355 nucleotides long. NCBI's taxonomy places the organism in Eukaryota, Viridiplantae, Streptophyta, Magnoliopsida, Lamiales, Lamiaceae. The record is from RefSeq and is a predicted model, not a curated record.